GGCCGCGUGGUCAAGUGGUUAAGACGUUGCCCUCUCAAGGCGAAGUCAGGGGUUCAAUUCCCCUCGCGGCUACCA
RNAcentral lists this transfer RNA (75 nucleotides) under Acidaminococcaceae bacterium. RNAcentral's name for it is "tRNA-Glu". It matches the Rfam family "tRNA". Rfam says of the family: Transfer RNA (tRNA) molecules are approximately 80 nucleotides in length. Lineage: Bacteria; Bacillati; Bacillota; Negativicutes; Acidaminococcales; Acidaminococcaceae. The record is from RNAcentral. RNAcentral also lists the same sequence under 1 other name.